Molecule: long non-coding RNA, 944 nt
Filed under: Podarcis lilfordi (Lilford's wall lizard)
Lineage: Eukaryota; Metazoa; Chordata; Lepidosauria; Squamata; Lacertidae
Source: RNAcentral
UGGAUUCGAACCACCAACCUUCUGAUUGGCAAGUCCUAGGCUCUGUGGUUGAGAGUCACCAUAGCGACGCAUAGUUAGAAGUAGAAGUCGGCAAAUGAAUUCCUCUUUUUUGUUCUUCAAAAUGUGGUGACCCUAAAUCAGGCCCCCACUCUAAAGUGGGGCACAUCACUUUAGCUGGGCAAUUCGCCACUCCUCCUGGCUUUCCUAAACUAUACCACCCAUUUGUUGUCUGUUUAAAUAUCCCACCUCUUACUUUGGGUAUUGUCAGGGACUAGUCUGAGGAGGAAUGGUGGAGUCUCUCCCCCCCCCCCCCGCCCGGCACUUCCCAGAGAAAAGGGAGCCAGUAUAGAUUUACAACAGUGGUUUGCAGAAGGUCAUAGUCAGAGUCUGCAGAGGGGAGAAGAUGGGAAAUAUUGGGAGAGGAGCAGCAGGGAGAAGAAGCCCGGGGGGGGGGGGCAACUGCUGACAGAUUCAGUGUCUUUAGAAAGCAUACCUGGCACACACCCCCUCGCAGGACCUGGCAGGCAUUGGGAAUGGAAGAACAGAAAGCUCAGAGGCAAGGAAGUACAGAUCAGCCCCUAUUCCAUCUUCAUGUAUGCGACAACGGCCACGAGAGUUCUGGUAGCACAAGGAUGGAAGACUGAAGAAACCCCAACUGAAGAAUCAUGGCAAGAAAACUUGACGGACUAUGCAGAACUGGCAAAACUGACAUAUAAGCUACGGGACAAGGAUAACUGUGACUUUCAGGAUGAAUGGGAACCCUUUACAAAGUAUCUGAAGACACAUCAAAGUGAACUGGACUCCUUGGCAGGUUUUGAAUAAACAUUCACAAACUUUUUAUUGAUAAUAAUCAGCUAAAUAGUUUGAGGAACUAUACGACUUUGUAACAUGCAGAAAACAGCAGUCUCAGAGAAACCAAAGACUGGAACUGAGGGAAGUCGGGG